ACGGGAGGCAGCAGUGGGGAAUAUUGCACAAUGGGCGCAAGCCUGAUGCAGCGAUGCCGCGUGAGGGAAGAAGGUUUUCGGAUUGUAAACCUCUGUCAACAGGGACGAAAAUGACGGUACCUGUGAAGGAAGCUCCGGCUAACUACGUGCCAGCAGCCGCGGUAAUACGGAGGAUGCAGGCGUUAUCCGGAUUUAUUAGGUUUAAAGGGUGCGCAGGCGGGACAUUAAGUCGGUGGUGAAAUACCGUGGCCCAACCACGGGGCUGCCAUCGAUACUGAUGACCUUGAGUGCGUGUGACGUAGGCGGAAUGUGGAGUGUAGCGGUGAAAUGCUUAGAUAUUCCACAGAACACCGAUUGCGAAGGCAGCCUACGAAUGCGUAACUGACGCUCAUGCACGAAAGCGCGGGUAGCGAACAGGAUUAGAUACCCUGGUA
RNAcentral lists this ribosomal RNA (434 nucleotides) under uncultured bacterium. Its description in RNAcentral is "partial 16S ribosomal RNA". It matches the Rfam family "Bacterial small subunit ribosomal RNA", at positions 341 to 792 of the family's 1533-position model. The record is from RNAcentral.